Molecule: ribosomal RNA, 501 nt
Filed under: uncultured bacterium
Lineage: Bacteria
Description: partial 16S ribosomal RNA
Rfam family: Bacterial small subunit ribosomal RNA
Source: RNAcentral
AUUGAACGCUGGCGGCAUGCCUUACACAUGCAAGUCGAACGGCAGCACGGGUGCUUGCACCUGGUGGCGAGUGGCGAACGGGUGGGUAAUACAUCGGAACGUACCUUAUCGUGGGGGAUAACGCAGCGAAAGCUGUGCUAAUACCGCAUACGCCCUGAGGGGGAAAGCGGGGGAUCGCAAGACCUCGCGCGAUUAGAGCGGCCGACGCCUGAUUAGCUUGUUGGUGGGGUAAAAGCCCACCAAGGCGACGAUCAGUAGCUGGUCUGAGAGGACGAUCAGCCACACUGGGACUGAGACACGGCCCAGACUCCUACGGGAGGCAGCAGUGGGGAAUUUUGGACAAGGGGGGCAACCCUGAUCCAGCAAUGCCGCGUGAGUGAAGAAGGCCUUCGGGUUGUAAAGCUCUUUUGUCAGGGAAGAAACACCGGCUCUAACACAGUCCGGGAAUGACGGUACCUGAAGAAUAAGCACCGGCUAACUACGUGCCAGCAGCCGCGGUAA